This 253-nucleotide ribosomal RNA is filed under the name uncultured bacterium. RNAcentral describes it as "partial 16S ribosomal RNA". It matches the Rfam family "Archaeal small subunit ribosomal RNA", at positions 474 to 727 of the family's 1478-position model. The record is from RNAcentral.
UACCAGCACCCCGAGUGGUCGGGACGAUUAUUGGGCCUAAAGCAUCCGUAGCCGGCCUUACAAGUCCUCCGUUAAAUCCAGCUGCUUAACAGAUGGGCUGCGGAGGAUACUAUAAGACUAGGAGGCAGGAGAGGCAAGCGGUACUCAGUGGGUAGGGGUAAAAUCCGUUGAUCCAUUGAAGGCCACCAGUGGCGAAGGCGGCUUGCCAGAACGCACUCGACGGUGAGGGAUGAAAGCUGGGGGAGCAAACCGG